Long non-coding RNA from Amphimedon queenslandica, 304 nucleotides. RefSeq lists it as uncharacterized. The transcript is spliced from 4 exons. The record is from RefSeq and is a predicted model, not a curated record. NCBI's taxonomy places the organism in Eukaryota, Metazoa, Porifera, Demospongiae, Haplosclerida, Niphatidae.
GCAUGAUUGAUGUUGUCAAUACAACCACAGAAAAUGAAGAUGGAGUUUAUGAAAGAAUAAAGGAUGAUCAGGUUUAUGAACAAUUAGAUGAACCUGAUCUGCUUGUAGCAAGAGAAAGUGCUGCUGACACAAGUAGCACAAAAUAUAAAAAUACUACUGUGCCUAUUGUUAAAGCCAGACUAAGUAGCACAACAUAUGAGAAUACUACUGCUCCUCUUGGUAAAGAGUCUACUACCUUUCAUGAAACAGAAAAUGAAGAAUGUGUGUAUGAACUAACUGAUACCUCAUAGUAACUUUUUUUGGU